Molecule: ribosomal RNA, 460 nt
Filed under: uncultured bacterium
Lineage: Bacteria
Description: partial 16S ribosomal RNA
Rfam family: Bacterial small subunit ribosomal RNA
Source: RNAcentral
CCUACGAGCGGCAGCAGUGAGGAAUAUUGGUCAAUGGACGCAAGUCUGAACCAGCCAUGCCGCGUGCAGGAAGACGGCUCUAUGAGUUGUAAACUGCUUUUGUACGGGGGUAAACGCAGAUACGCGUAUCUGUCUGAAAGUAUCGUACGAAUAAGGAUCUGCUAACUCCGUGCCAGCAGCCGCGGUAAUACGGAGGAUUCAAGCGUUAUCCGGAUUUAUUGGGUUUAAAGGGUGCGUAGGCGGUCGGAUAAGUUAGAAGUGAAAUCCCGAGGCUCAACUUCGGAAUUGCCUCUGAUACUUGUCGGCUAGAGAGUAGUUGCGGUAGGCGGAAUGUAUGGUGUAGCGGUGAAAUGCUUAGAGAUCAUACAGAACACCGAUUGCGAAGGCAGCUUACCAAGCUACUUCUGACGUUGAGGCACGAAAGCGUGGGGAGCAAACAGGAUUAGAUACCCGUGUAGUC